UGAGGCGCGCCGAGUUUGAUCCUGGCUCAGAUUGAACGCUGGCGGCAGGCUUAACACAUGCAAGUCGAACGGUAACAGAGAAUAGCUUGCUAUUUUGCUGACGAGUGGCGGACGGGUGAGUAAUGCUUGGGAAUUUACCUUGUUGUGGGGGACAACAGUUGGAAACGACUGCUAAUACCGCAUAAUGUCUUUUGACCAAAGGUGGCCUCUAUUUAUAAGCUAUCGCGACAAGAUGAGCCCAAGUGGGAUUAGCUAGUUGGUAGGGUAAAGGCUCACCAAGGCGACGAUCUGUAGCGGGUCUGAGAGGAUGAUCCGCCACACUGGGACUGAGACACGGCCCAGACUCCUACGGGAGGCAGCAGUGGGGAAUUUUGGACAAUGGGCGCAAGCCUGAUCCAGCCAUGCCGCGUGAGUGAAGAAGGCCUUAGGGUUGUAAAGCACUUUCAGCGAGGAGGAAAGGGUGCAGGUUAAUACCCUGUAUCUGUGACGUUACUCGCAGAAGAAGCACCGGCUAACUCCGUGCCAGCAGCCGCGGUAAUACGGAGGGUGCGAGCGUUAAUCGGAAUUACU
RNAcentral lists this ribosomal RNA (570 nucleotides) under uncultured bacterium. Its description in RNAcentral is "bacterial SSU rRNA". It matches the Rfam family "Bacterial small subunit ribosomal RNA", at positions 1 to 555 of the family's 1533-position model. The record is from RNAcentral.